GACGAACGCUGGCGGCGUGCUUAACACAUGCAAGUCGAACGGAAAGGCCCUGCUUUUGUGGGGUGCUCGAGUGGCGAACGGGUGAGUAACACGUGAGUAACCUGCCCCUGACUUUGGGAUAACUUCAGGAAACUGGGGCUAAUACCGGAUAGGAGCUCCUGCUGCAUGGUGGGGGUUGGAAAGUUUCGGCGGUUGGGGAUGGACUCGCGGCUUAUCAGCUUGUUGGUGGGGUAGUGGAGUACCAAGGCUUCGACGGGUAGCCGGCCUGAGAGGGUGACCGGCUACAUUGGGACUGGGGUACGGCCCAGAGUCCUACGGGAGGCAGCAGUGGGGGAUUUUGGACAAUGGGCGGAAGCCGGAUGCAAGAACGUCGGGUGGGAAAUGACGGCCUUCGGGUAGGAACACGCUUUUGCGUAUGACGAAGCGUGAGUAACGUUACUGGGUAAAGAAGCACGGGUAAACUCCGU
Molecule: ribosomal RNA, 467 nt
Filed under: uncultured bacterium
Lineage: Bacteria
Description: partial 16S ribosomal RNA
Rfam family: Bacterial small subunit ribosomal RNA
Source: RNAcentral